CCUUCUCGGAGAGGAACGGCCAUCUUCGGUGAGGGGGUCUCAGGAGUGUCGCCACUCUGCUCAGAGCAUGCUCCCUAAGAAGACCUUGACCAGCCCCACGUCACACUGAUGCCUGACUCCCUCCACAGUGAGCGCCCUGCCCUCUCUGUACCGCGGUUUCACAGGCGAGCGCUUGCAUGCACUUCCUGCCUCCCUUACUGGAUUGUAAGCUCUACAAAGAUCAGCAGGGGCCAAAAACACUCAGACCCUGGAAUUGCAGUAGGUUUCCAGUCCCCACUACAAAAGAAGAUUAAGGUGAGG
This is a long non-coding RNA of Artibeus jamaicensis (Jamaican fruit-eating bat), 300 nucleotides long. RefSeq lists it as uncharacterized. The record is from RefSeq and is a predicted model, not a curated record. The transcript is spliced from 3 exons. Lineage: Eukaryota; Metazoa; Chordata; Mammalia; Chiroptera; Phyllostomidae.